ACAUGCAAGUCGAACGAACUCUUCGGAGUUAGUGGCGCACGGGUGCGUAACGCGUGGGAAUCUGCCCUUGGGUACGGAAUAACUCAGAGAAAUUUGUGCUAAUACCGUAUAAUGUCUUCGGACCAAAGAUUUAUCGCCCAAGGAUGAGCCCGCGUAAGAUUAGCUAGUUGGUGAGGUAAGAGCUCACCAAGGCGACGAUCUUUAGCUGGUCUGAGAGGAUGAUCAGCCACACUGGGACUGAGACACGGCCCAGACUCCUACGGGAGGCAGCAGUGGGGAAUAUUGGACAAUGGGCGAAAGCCUGAUCCAGCAAUGCCGCGUGAGUGAUGAAGGCCUUAGGGUUGUAAAGCUCUUUUACCCGGGAUGAUAAUGACAGUACCGGGAGAAUAAGCUCCGGCUAACUCCGUGCCAGCAGCCGCGGUAAUACGGAGGGAGCUAGCGUUGUUCGGAAUUACUGGGCGUAAAGCGCGCGUAGGCGGUUUUUUAAGUCAGAGGUGAAAGCCCAGUGCUCAACACUGGAACUGCCUUUGAAACUGGAAAACUUGAAUCAUGGAGAGGUCAGUGGAAUUCCGAGUGUAGAGGUGAAAUUCGUAGAUAUUCGGA
RNAcentral lists this ribosomal RNA (603 nucleotides) under uncultured Alphaproteobacteria bacterium. Its description in RNAcentral is "bacterial SSU rRNA". It matches the Rfam family "Bacterial small subunit ribosomal RNA", at positions 53 to 702 of the family's 1533-position model. The record is from RNAcentral. Lineage: Bacteria; Pseudomonadati; Pseudomonadota; Alphaproteobacteria.